AACUGUAGAGUUAGAUGAUGAAUUGAAUGUAAACAGGGAGGUGAGAAAACAGUAGGGAGAAAAGUAAAAAGAAAGGCUAGAAUUGAGGGCUUUUCGAUGUAGAAAUCAGGGUUUUAAAACGACAGUAAUAGAGGUUUUGGGACAAAGAAAAUUAAGUCAGAGAACAUGGGCUACCACUGAAACUGAGAGAGGAAGAACAAAAAACAAAAUUAAAGCAUAAACGAAACGGAAAGGGGCUGCCACCGGCCCUAACCACGGCGAGGGUUGGCGGCUGAAGGAUUUUUCAGAUCUAGAAAAAUCAUACAGAGGUCUCUCAAAAGGAAAGAAAGUCUCUCACAACAAGAGAAAGCUAAUAUCAUAUGUCUUUACUUUAGGUUAUGUUUGGGUGUGGAUUCUAAGUUCCAAGAGAUUGAGAUCAAGCUUGCUAGUAAGGAAUGGUUAACAAAAUAUUGACAAGAAGGAUCAGAAA
RNAcentral lists this long non-coding RNA (469 nucleotides) under Malus domestica (apple). RNAcentral describes it as "long non-coding RNA (MDOM_LNC016309)". The record is from RNAcentral. Lineage: Eukaryota; Viridiplantae; Streptophyta; Magnoliopsida; Rosales; Rosaceae.